This 447-nucleotide ribosomal RNA is filed under the name uncultured Nitrosomonadaceae bacterium. RNAcentral's name for it is "bacterial SSU rRNA". It matches the Rfam family "Bacterial small subunit ribosomal RNA", at positions 934 to 1382 of the family's 1533-position model. Lineage: Bacteria; Pseudomonadati; Pseudomonadota; Betaproteobacteria; Nitrosomonadales; Nitrosomonadaceae. The record is from RNAcentral.
GGAUUAUGUGGAUUAAUUCGAUGCAACGCGAAAACCUUACCUACCCUUGACAUGUCCUGAAGCCUGGAGAGAUCCGGGUGUGCCCGAAAGGGAACGGGAACACAGGUGCUGCAUGGCUGUCGUCAGCUCGUGUCGUGAGAUGUUGGGUUAAGUCCCGCAACGAGCGCAACCCUUGUCAUUAGUUGCUACAUUUAGUUGGGCACUCUAAUGAGACUGCCGGUGACAAACCGGAGGAAGGUGGGGAUGACGUCAAGUCCUCAUGGCCCUUAUGGGUAGGGCUUCACACGUAAUACAAUGGCGCGUACAGAGGGUUGCCAAGCCGCGAGGUGGAGCCAAUCCCAGAAAGCGCGUCGUAGUCCGGAUUGCAGUCUGCAACUCGACUGCAUGAAGUCGGAAUCGCUAGUAAUCGCGGAUCAGCAUGUCGCGGUGAAUACGUUCCCGGGUCUU